This is a long non-coding RNA of Cyprinus carpio carpio, 1126 nucleotides long. The record is from Ensembl. NCBI's taxonomy places the organism in Eukaryota, Metazoa, Chordata, Actinopteri, Cypriniformes, Cyprinidae.
AUUGAAUCUCUGGAAGACGGGCUCUUUCAGGCAAAGGACGGCGACCAACAGUUCCAGCAGACCCAGGCCUGGGGAAAUCAUUAACCAAAAACAAAGCACAACAGGACACUGGUGGGUCUGCGGUAUUGCGCCGGUCAUGUGGGGAUUGGGGGUGACCGCCGGUCGCUGCAGGAGUGAGUUAGCUGGAGAAGGCACAAUAUUUACCUCAUCUGUUCAAAUGAUGGCGUGUUGAGAGGAAGGCAUGGCAGCAUGACGUUUACUAAAGCAGGAUGGAACGAGACCCUGAGGCCUCACAGACUCUCCCAGCCGUGACUGUUUGUCUGAGAGAGCGCUAACUCCCAUGAACGAUAUACACUUGACAGAAAGCCACUGCCUUUUUGCUGUGUGUGUGUGUGUGUGUGUGUGUGUGUGUCUAUCUGACUCUAUAAGCAGCAUUCCUCUUGUGAAACCAGAGUCAUAGAGAGUGCUGAGGAAGAAUGGAACCUAUUCAGCUGCACCACUUAAUCAGACUCCCUGAGCGUCCCUCGCCUCCUGCGGCGUCUCCCUCGUCGUGUGUCUCAGGUGCACAGCCCCUCCUGUUAUUCGCCAUUCUUUACCAUUUUUGUUUCUCUUCCAAUCUGUCAAUCUCUUUCUCCUCUUACUCCCUCUCUCUUUUUCUCUUUCCCUCUCAGCUGUAAAAUUGGACUUGGAAAGAUGAGGUUUUUUGGGGAACUCAUUUUCUUUGUCCUUGAGUAUUUAAACGAUAAAGAAGCUUGAUUUUAGUAGAUUUGUCUUUAUGCGUCUCUAGCACUUUUGCUGCAAAAAGGAUUUUCUUAGGCAGUAUUGUUUUGUCUUAAUGUCUAAUAAAAUAUCUAAGCAACCUUAAAACACCAAUUUACUAGAGAAGCAAUAUUGCGUGAGAUAUUGAGUGUUAUUUUCAAAGAAUACACUACUGAUUUAAAGUCUGGGGCUGCUUUUUUAUAAUAAAUACAAUAAAGUGUGAAAUUUAGUUACAAUUUGAGAUACCUGUUUUCUGUUUUAAUAUAUUUUAGAAUGUAAUUUGCCAAAGCUGAAUUUUCAGAAACUAUUCCUCCAGUCUUCAGUGUCACAUGAUCCUUCCGAAGUCAUUCUAAUAUGCCUGAUGUGG